AGAGUUUGAUCAUGGCUCAGAUUGAACGCYNGCGGCAUGCCUUACACAUGCAAGUCGAACGGUAACGGGCCUUCGGGUGCCGACGAGUGGCGAACGGGUGAGUAAUAUAUCGGAACGUGCCCAAUCGUGGGGGAUAGCCCGGCGAAAGCCGGAUUAAUACCGCAUACGACCUGAGGGUGAAAGCGGGGGAUCUUCGGACCUCGCGCGAUUGGAUCGGCCGAUAUCAGAUUAGGUAGUUGGUGGGGUAAAGGCUUACCAAGCCUACGAUCUGUAGCUGGUCUGAGAGGACGACCAGCCACACUGGGACUGAGACACGGCCCAGACUCCUACGGGAGGCAGCAGUGGGGAAUUUUGGACAAUGGGCGCAAGCCUGAUCCAGCCAUGCCGCGUGCAGGAAGAAGGCCUUCGGGUUGUAAACUGCUUUUGUCAGAGAAGAAAUCUUCUGGGUUAAUACCCUGGGAGGAUGACGGUAUCUGAAGAAUAAGCACCGGCUAACUACGUGCCAGCAGCCGCGGUAAUACGUAGGGUGCGAGCGUUAAUCGGAAUUACUGGGCGUAAAGCGUGCGCAGGCGGCUUUGCAAGACAGAUGUGAAAUCCCCGGGCUUAACCUGGGAACUGCAUUUGUGACUGCAAGGCUAGAGUACGGCAGAGGGGGAUGGAAUUCCGCGUGUAGCAGUGAAAUGCGUAGAUAUGCGGAGGAACACCGAUGGCGAAGGCAGUCCCCUGGGCCUGUACUGACGCUCAUGCACGAAAGCGUGGGGAGCAAACAGGAUUAGAUACCCCGGUAGU
Molecule: ribosomal RNA, 789 nt
Filed under: uncultured bacterium
Lineage: Bacteria
Description: bacterial SSU rRNA
Rfam family: Bacterial small subunit ribosomal RNA
Source: RNAcentral